Molecule: ribosomal RNA, 181 nt
Filed under: uncultured bacterium
Lineage: Bacteria
Description: partial 16S ribosomal RNA
Rfam family: Bacterial small subunit ribosomal RNA
Source: RNAcentral
UGAAGCUGGAAUUGCUAGUAAUGGCAGGUCAGCAUACUGCCGUGAAUACGUUCCCGGGCCCUUGUACACACCGCCCGUCACACCAUGAGAGUUGGGAAUACCCGAAGCCUGUGAGCUAACUUAUAAGAGGCAGCAGUCGAAGGUAGAAUCAAUGAUUGGGGUGAAGUCGUAACAAGGUAUC